This 24-nucleotide non-coding RNA is filed under the name Arabidopsis thaliana (thale cress). The record is from RNAcentral. Lineage: Eukaryota; Viridiplantae; Streptophyta; Magnoliopsida; Brassicales; Brassicaceae.
AUGAUAUUUGUACCAAGGAAGGUA